This 497-nucleotide ribosomal RNA is filed under the name uncultured bacterium. RNAcentral's name for it is "partial 16S ribosomal RNA". It matches the Rfam family "Bacterial small subunit ribosomal RNA", at positions 28 to 507 of the family's 1533-position model. The record is from RNAcentral.
GAUGAACGCUGGCGGCGUGCCUAAUACAUGCAAGUCGAGCGAACAGACGAGGAGCUUGCUCCUCUGACGUUAGCGGCGGACGGGUGAGUAACACGUGGAUAACCUACCUAUAAGACUGGGAUAACUUCGGGAAACCGGAGCUAAUACCGGAUAAUAUAUUGAACCGCAUGGUUCAAUAGUGAAAGACGGUUUUGCUGUCACUUAUAGAUGGAUCCGCGCCGCAUUAGCUAGUUGGUAAGGUAACGGCUUACCAAGGCAACGAUGCGUAGCCGACCUGAGAGGGUGAUCGGCCACACGGGAACUGAGACACGGUCCAGACUCCGACGGGAGGCAGCAGUAGGGAAUCUUCCGCAAUGGGCGAAAGCCUGACGGAGCAACGCCGCGUGAGUGAUGAAGGUCUUCGGAUCGUAAAACUCUGUUAUUAGGGAAGAACAAAUGUGUAAGUAACUAUGCACGUCUUGACGGUACCUAAUCAGAAAGCCACGGCUAACUACGUG